AUUGAACGCUGGCGGCAGGCCUAACACAUGCAAGUCGAGCGGAUGAAGGGAGCUUGCUCCUGGAUUCAGCGGCGGACGGGUGAGUAAUGCCUAGGAAUCUGCCUGGUAGUGGGGGAUAACGUCCGGAAACGGGCGCUAAUACCGCAUACGUCCUGCGGGUGAAAGUGGGGGAUCUUCGGACCUCACGCUAUCAGAUGAGCCUAGGUCGGAUUAGCUAGUUGGUGGGGUAAAGGCCUACCUAGGCGACGAUCCGUAACUGGUCUGAGAGGAUGGUCAGUCACAUUGGAACUGAGACACGGUCCAGACUCCUACGGGAGGCAGCAGUGGGGAAUAUUGGGCAAUGGGCGAAUGCCUGAUCCAGCCAUGCCGCGUGUGUGAAGAAGGUCUUCGGAUUGUAAAGCACUUUAAGUUGGGAGGAAGGGCAGUAAGUUAAUACCUUGCUGUUUUGACGGUACCAACAGAAUAAGCACCGGCUAACUUCGUG
RNAcentral lists this ribosomal RNA (484 nucleotides) under uncultured bacterium. Its description in RNAcentral is "partial 16S ribosomal RNA". It matches the Rfam family "Bacterial small subunit ribosomal RNA", at positions 30 to 507 of the family's 1533-position model. The record is from RNAcentral.